RNAcentral lists this ribosomal RNA (521 nucleotides) under uncultured Bacillus sp. RNAcentral describes it as "bacterial SSU rRNA". It matches the Rfam family "Bacterial small subunit ribosomal RNA", at positions 1034 to 1533 of the family's 1533-position model. Lineage: Bacteria; Bacillati; Bacillota; Bacilli; Caryophanales; Bacillaceae. The record is from RNAcentral.
ACAGGUGGUGCAUGGUUGUCGUCAGCUCGUGUCGUGAGAUGUUGGGUUAAGUCCCGCAACGAGCGCAACCCUUGAUCUUAGUUGCCAGCAUUAAGUUGGGCACUCUAAGGUGACUGCCGGUGACAAACCGGAGGAAGGUGGGGAUGACGUCAAAUCAUCAUGCCCCUUAUGACCUGGGCUACACACGUGCUACAAUGGAUGGAACAAAGGCAGCGAAGCCGCGAGGUGAAGCCAAUCCCAUAAAACCAUUCUCAGUUCGGAUUGCAGGCUGCAACUCGCCUGCAUGAAGCCGGAAUCGCUAGUAAUCGCGGAUCAGCAUGCCGCGGUGAAUACGUUCCCGGGCCUUGUACACACCGCCCGUCACACCACGAGAGUUUGUAACACCCGAAGUCGGUGGGGUAACCUUUAUGGAGCCAGCCGCCUAAGGUGGGACAGAUGAUUGGGGUGAAGUCGUAACAAGGUAGCCGUAUCGGAAGGUGCGGCUGGAUCACCUCCUAAUCUAGAUGCAUCGCGAGUUUAUA